ACUUAAAGGAAUUGGCGGGGGAGCACAACAACGGGUGGAGCCUGCGGUUUAAUUGGACUCAACGCCGGACAACUCACCGGGGACGACAGCAAAAUGUAGGCCAGGCUGAAGACCUUGCCUGAAUCGCUGAGAGGAGGUGCAUGGCCGUCGCCAGUUCGUACUGUGAAGCAUCCUGUUAAGUCAGGCAACGAGCGAGACCCGUGCCCACUGUUACCAGCAUGUCCUCCGGGAUGAUGGGUACUCUGUGGGGACCGCCGGUGUUAAAUCGGAGGAAGGUGCGGGCUACGGUAGGUCAGUAUGCCCCGAAUUUCCCGGGCUACACGCGGGCUACAAUGAAUGGGACAAUGGGUCCCUCCCCUGAAAAGGGCUGGUAAUCUCACAAACCCAUCCUUAGUUCGG
RNAcentral lists this ribosomal RNA (399 nucleotides) under uncultured archaeon. Its description in RNAcentral is "bacterial SSU rRNA". It matches the Rfam family "Archaeal small subunit ribosomal RNA", at positions 854 to 1252 of the family's 1478-position model. The record is from RNAcentral.